Molecule: ribosomal RNA, 443 nt
Filed under: uncultured bacterium
Lineage: Bacteria
Description: partial 16S ribosomal RNA
Rfam family: Bacterial small subunit ribosomal RNA
Source: RNAcentral
CCUACGGGAGGCAGCAGUGGGGAAUAUUGGGCAAUGGGCGCAAGCCUGACCCAGCAACGCCGCGUGAAGGAAGAAGGCUUUCGGGUUGUAAACUUCUUUUCUCAGGGACGAAGCAAGUGACGGUACCUGAGGAAUAAGCCACGGCUAACUACGUGCCAGCAGCCGCGGUAAUACGUAGGUGGCAAGCGUUAUCCGGAUUUACUGGGUGGAAAGGGCGGGUAGGCGGGAAAGCAAGUCAGAUGUGAAAGCCAUGGGCUCAACCUGUGGACUGCAUUUGAAACUGUUUGUCUUGAGUGCUGGAGAGGCAGACGGAAUUCCUAGUGUAGCGGUGAAAUGCGUAGAUAUUAGGAGGAACACCAGUGGCGAAGGCGGUCUGCUGGACAGCAACUGACGCUGAGGCGCGAAAGCGUGGGGAGCAAACAGGAUUAGAUACCCCAGUAGUC